RNAcentral lists this ribosomal RNA (195 nucleotides) under uncultured bacterium. Its description in RNAcentral is "partial 16S ribosomal RNA". It matches the Rfam family "Bacterial small subunit ribosomal RNA", at positions 335 to 528 of the family's 1533-position model. The record is from RNAcentral.
ACUGUACGGGAGGCAGCAGUGAGGAAUAUUGGUCAAUGGGCGAGAGCCUGAACCAGCCAAGUAGCGUGCAGGAAGACGGCCCUAUGGGUUGUAAACUGCUUUUAUAGGGGAAUAAAGUGAUCCACGUGUGGAUUAUUGUAUGUACCCUAUGAAUAAGGACCGGCUAAUUCCGUGCCAGCAGCCGCGGUAAUCAGU